This 55-nucleotide ribosomal RNA is filed under the name Saccharum hybrid cultivar. RNAcentral's name for it is "partial 18S rRNA". Lineage: Eukaryota; Viridiplantae; Streptophyta; Magnoliopsida; Poales; Poaceae. The record is from RNAcentral.
UUGAAGUAAAAUUGUGUGAUACAGGUUCCGUAGGUGAACUGCGGAAGGAUCAUUG